CACCCCAUGCUCCCUCCUCCUCCAGAUCCGAGUCACUCCCAUGUACAUGCAUCAAGAUGCCCCUAUUCUUCCGACAUGACAGGAGCUGAUCUGUUUUCUUGUGGUAAGUCUCAACCAUGGUCCUCCAAAAACAACAGUUAGGAUCUUUAGCUGUUCAUACAAAUUAUUUAUAAUUAAUCUAGGUCCGGGUGGCAGGAUCUUGAUUUACUUUUUUUUUUGCCCAAUGCUCAAAGGAUUAGCCGCAUGAGUGAGAAAAUAAGGGCCAUUUGCAUAUGUUUGGAGUGUGUUGAUUAUAUUCAGUUUAAAGGGCUUUGUUUUCUCGUAUCUACUCCUACAGUUUCGUAGGUGCUACUGUUAGGUGUACUGUUAGUACUCUCAUUUUUUGAUUUCAUUGAAAAACUGAAAAGGUUCUUGUCCAUAUAAUUUUUAUGCUAGCUAUGUAUUUUCAGGAACUUUUCGAGAAUUAAGAAACCCUCUGUUUUGCUUGGAACUCUUGGCCUGGUUGUGUGCCCCUCCUCUUCUGUGAUUUACAGCUUCUCCAUAACCAUGGAGAAACCUGAAGAUCCAAGUGGAGAAAAGAAAGGUUGUCAAGCAAGCUUUCUUGAACCAAAUGAUGAAAGAGUAUGUGGAUGCGGCAAAGUUUUGUGGUCAAAAUGGAUGGACAAAGGAGUUGGAGCAUGACAAGCAAAACCUAUCUCAGUUAUUUACGAUGAGGGGAGUACAAAGAGGGCCUCUGCGUGAUCCUCCUUGAUGCCUUCCCUGUUCUCCCUGCAUGGCUUCGCCUCGCUCCCCAUCCAGGCCGCCACGAGAGGCAGCUCCAAUCCGUCAUCGGGUUCCUCUCUCACCCUCUGUGUCCGGGGUUCAGUUCGUUCUGGUAAAAAAUGUAUAAGAAAGUAUAACUUCAAUACUCUGCAAUUGUUAUCUUCUUUGUACUGUAGCCGGUCACAGUAUUGUCAUUUGUAGUGCACUUGUAGAGUUCAAGUCCAUGAUCUGCAGAACAUGUUUAGAUCUGUUUUCUCAUACUGGCACGUGAUAGCAGGGAUGAAUGUAUUAAGCUCUCCACAAUUCAGUUCCUCUUUUAUUUUAAUAGCUCCACAUGUGUCGUC
Molecule: long non-coding RNA, 1106 nt
Organism: Triticum dicoccoides
Lineage: Eukaryota; Viridiplantae; Streptophyta; Magnoliopsida; Poales; Poaceae
Exons: 3
Source: RefSeq, a predicted model, not a curated record